CAUUUUUACAAAUGAUCUGUUAAGGGAACACAGCAAGCUGAGUGUGCUCCAACGCUGGAGAGAUUUACGUAAAGAAGCGGAAGAUUGGAAGGAUUGCCAAAUGAUUUCGAUAAAAUAAGUACCAAAAUUUGAUUUUGGAUAGCAAAACGCAAAAUUAGAAGAGGACCACAUUACGUGCAUUUCUGCAUGAUAUAUUAUACCAAAAAUGGCAGAUUCCAAUAGAGAUGCUCAUAACUCCUACAAACUGAUUAAAACUCUUUUAGGUAUAAACAGGAUUGACAGAAUUAAAAAAAAAAUUAUACUUACUAACAUUUCCGGUAUGUAUAAGUGAAUGAUCAUUUACACUCAGGACCCAUCAGUAGGCAGCAGAGAUGUUUGCAAAAAGUGUUACAAAACCACCUAGCAUCAUAUUGUAAGUAGCACGAGUAGCAUUGUUCGGUAAAGUGCUUUAAUUAUUAUCUGGCUUCUGUACAAAAAAAAGUUUGGUUCAAGUGUAAAUAAAAUGCUUUAAUCUCCCCUAAAUACUUACACUGUAUGGAUGGUACAACUCCUUGUGCAGACAGUUUUAAUUAUAUUACCUUGCAGCAGAUCAUGUGCAGAUGCGAGUUGUCUGUCAGAUCUUUAUUUCACAAAGAAUGCAUUUGCAUAACAGUGAACUGACUUCAAAGCAAAGCACUUUAAUUAUACACUUGGACAAAAAGCUUAAUCCAGUGAUAUACUUUGUAAAGGAGGACUGUCAUGACUGUUCAUCCCAUCCUUGAUAACCACAUCUAUGAUCUAACAAACAUGCCAAGCAUGGAUCAGAAGUCCUGAAAAAUAAGAUUUUUUUUUAUAUUAUAUGUACGAAUACGUAUCCCUGUUAAAACAUUAAAAGUUAUGGUAAACACAUUCAGUUAUAGCAAGUAGUUCAUGCACUGAUUAAUAAUAUUUGCUGAGUGUCCCUCUUUUUGAAAUAAGAUAGGACUUGGAUUGACGUACAGUCUCUAACAAACCCCCAUUUCUGAAGUCGACAUCAAAAUCUGACGUCAUAAUAAAAUAAGAUUUCAAAUCUACAUGCAUGACCAAUUAUAUAUCCCUAGUGGGACAUGCAGUAAUAAUUACCUUUCCAGAGCAUAUUUGAUUUUUUAUUUUUAUGUAGAACUUGUGAAUAUUGGAUCCGGUAAGACAGUUUUGCCAGUCCUGUCAACUGUUCCCUGACCUACGUUUAAUAAUAUAAAAUAAAUGCUUCGCUGAGCGUAGCCUGACACGACCGCAUAUGUCGAACCCUGAACAGGUGGUGCAAGUUUGGACACAUUGUUCAAGCUUGAUACUGUCUGAAUUUGAAUUGUGAUCAAAUGUUUGACAUAAUAUAGGUUUCUGAUACAAAAUAAAUGUGGUGAAUUUUUUUAGAAUUAUCUAAAAUUUUUAAAUGAGUUAAAUAAAAUUGUAUUAGAUUUUAAUUGAAAAUUUCUUGCUUGUGCAAUUGAAUAUUUCAUGCAAUUAAGCAAUACUGUGCAAUUCAAUUUUUCUUGCUAUUGCGCAAUACUCUGCAAUUAAAGAUGUCUUCCUAUUGCGCAAUACUGUGCUAUUGGAUAUUUCUUGCUAUUGCGCAAUACUGUGCAAUUGAAGAUUUCUAGCUAUUGCGCAAUGCUGUGCAAUUGAAGAUUUCUAGCUAUUGCACUAUACUUAAUUUUACACAUCCUGUUUGGUGUGUAUCUCCUGCCAUAUCAUUAUUAUUUGCUAAUAUAUAUAAAUCAGAAAUAACCAACUUAAAAUGGAAAAUUUUAAAGAAAAAAAAGAAAAAAAGGAAAAAAAAAAAAACAAACUCCCCCUAACUUUUUGAACCCUCUUAUGAUUCAUCACCCCAAACUCAAUCCCAGCAUUCCCUUUGUGGUAUGGUACCUUGCAGUACAUUCCAGAGAGAUCUAUACACUUGAACACAAGUUAUUGUCUGGAAACUAGAAAAAUACUUGUUUUUUUUUGCCCCUUUUUGGCCCCACAUUCCUAAACGUUGAGGACAAUAACCCCCAAACUCAAAGUAAGCUUUCCCUUUGUGACAUGGGACCUUGUAGUACAAUUUCAGAAAGAUCCAUACAUUUACACACAAGUUAUUGUCCUGAAACUAGAAAAAAAGCUUGUUUUUUUGCCCCUUUUUGGCACCCUAUUCCUAAAAUUUUGAGGCAAUUACCCCAAAAUCAAUCCCAGCAUUCCCUUUGUGAUAUGGACACUUGUGGUACAAUGUCAGAUAGAUCCCUACACUAACAUACAAGUUAUUGUCUGGAAGUUACAAAAAUACUUCAUUUUUUGCCCUUUUAUGGUCCCUUAUCAAGCAAAAAUAUUGGUACAAUAACCCGAAAAUCAAUCCCAACUUUCUGUUUGUUGUAUUUAACCUUAUGGUAAAAUUUCAUAGAGAUCCAUUCUCUAAAACUAAAGUUAUUGUGCGAAAACCAAUGUGUCCUCGGACGACGACGACGACGCCAACGUCAUUCAAAUAUACGACCGCAAAAAUUUGCAGUCGUAUAAAAAUAGUUGGAUUAAAAUACACCCUUAACUUUGACUGGAACGACCUGGACAAGGAUAUGACCAGGGGUGGUUUAAUGACUGAGAUCACACUCAAUUUAAAUGAUAAAAUAAAUGAAAUAAAUGACAAUGUUACUCAAUUUAAAUGAUAAAUAAAUGAGAUUAAAAACCAAUUGUUCACAGAACAAUUGAAGGUCUUUCCACCAUUAAAGAUUUAUUUUGAUAUUAAAAUAUGAAAAAUCAGUUUAAAACGUUAGUUCUUAGGGCUUUAUGAUGUAUUAAUAUGAAUUUGAAGCACAGGUCAAAAUCUAGAACGUCCAAUUAGCUUAUGACCUUGACCUAAAUUUCAAGGUCACAAACAAAGGACCUAAAAUCAAACGACCCUAGGUCGUGAAUAUGUGUAGUUAAUGAGUUAUAUCACUUUACGCGUAAUUCUAAAUUAAGGAUGGGUGAAAAUUCCCAUUAAUUGUCUACGUACCGUUCAACACAAAAUAUAUAAGUAACGACAUGUCGCAACUAACAAUUUAGUAAAAAUAAUUUGUCGAUAUGUUAUACAGUGUUUAGCCUUCGGCUGUGUUUGCUCUAUGGUCGGUGUUGUCGCUUUGACAUAUUCACCAUUCUUUCUCAAUUUUAUUCAAAAUAAGCCAAAAUGUAAAUUUAAAAUAUGACCUUUGACCUUAUGACCUUGACCUAAUUUUCAUUUUUCUGGACCAAGGAUCUCAAAUCAAAAUACCUUUAGUCUCUAUCACUUAUGGUUUACCAGUUAGAAACGCAUUUCACUUAUAUCAAAUACAUAUGGGGGAAUAACUCUCAUACGAAGUCUCCGGAUAGCUUCGGUCAAAAUUAAACUCCGAAUCCUGAAGAUGUAAUGAACAAUUUGGUAAAAUAAAUGUGUCGUAAUCUUUUAUGGUCGCGAAGGAGUAGUGGCCACAAGAAAAGCAGGAUUUGGGGAGAUAACUCUUACAACGUAAAGUAUUUGGUUACGCCUUUGUCAUGAUAACACGAUAUCAUAUUCCAAAUAUCUAAGCGACAUCUUUUGAAACAUCAACAAUUUGCAAGAAAAAAAUUAGGCGGAAGAAAAAAAAAUAAUAACAAAAAACCAAUUGUUCAGAGAACAAUUGAAGGUCUUUCCACCAGUUAACAUCUAUUUUGAUAUCAAAAUAUAAAAAAUCAGUCUAAAAUGUCAGUUCAUAUGGCUUUAUGAUGUAUAGAUAUGAAUUUAAAGCAAAGGUAAAAAUCUAGAACGUCAAAUUAACCUAUGACCUUGACCUCAAUUUCAAGGUCACAAAAUGAGGAUUUCAAAUCAAAGACCCUAGUCUCUUAUAUGUAUGGUUAAUAAGUUAUAUCACUUUAAACAUAAUUUAAGAUAUGAUAGGGGCUAAAACUCCCAUUCAUUGUUUACGUACCCUUUCAACUAAAAUUAUUUAGUUACCACAUGUCGCAACUAACAAUUUAUACAAAAUAAUUUGUCGAUAUCUUAUAAGGUUAAUGAAAAUGAGUGAAAAUAAGACAAAUUCAAAAAUUAGAAUAUGACCUUGACCUUUGACCUUGACCUAAUUUUCAUUUUUUUUGGACCAAGGACCUCAAAUCAAAAGAUCCUAGGUCUCUAUCACUUAUGGUGUCCCAGUUUAAAAUACAUUUCAAAAUUUCAAAUACAAAAAGUGAAAUAACUCUCAUAUGGAGCGUUCAUAUUGCUUCGGUCGAAAUUGGACAAAUCAUGCGAAGGAUAUGACGAGCAAUUUUAUAAAAUAAAUUUGUCGUAAUCUUUUACGGUUGCGAAGGAGUUGUGGACACCAGGAAAACAGUGUUUGGGGAGAUAACUCCUACAAAGAAAAGUAUUCGGUUAUGCAGGUAAACUUCAAAAGCGCAUAAACUGUUCGAUAUCAUAUACCAAAUAUCUAAGCGACAUAUUGCGAAACAAAUGUUUAUCGCAAGAACAAAAUUUGGCGGAAGAAAAAAAAUAGGUCUUUCCACAGAAAAGUGGAAAGACCUAAUAAUCAGAACAAAAUCAAAAGGUUUUUCCACGGAAAGGUGGAAACAACUAAUAAAUGACAAUGUUACUCAAUUUAAAUAAUAAAUAAAUGACAAUGUUACUCAAUUUAAAUAAUAAAUAAAUGACAAUGUUACUCAAUUUAAAUGAUAAAUAAAUGACAAUGUUACUCAAUUUAAAUGAUAAAUAAAUGACAAUGUUGUACUACACUUGAUAUUUGAAUGUUUUUGUUUCAUUGUAUUUACAUAAAAGUAUCUGGUCAUUGGUUGUCCCUUAUUUUAACUUUUGGUUUCAAAUGCUAUUCAACUAUAUAUUUGAUUAGGCGUUUCACUGUUACAACUGAUUUUAUAGUUGCAACGUUGAUUACUGUAAAUGCAGAAAUUAUUGCGUGCAUUUAUUAUUGCGAUUUGUUAUUUUAGACUAAAAUGCGUUUUUAAAUUUUGCAAUAUUUAGGAAAAUCCUAUCUCUAUCCAUCUUCAUAUUUCCGCACUCAGUCACAACUUUGACUAUUACGUGCCGUUGCAAGCGUGGCUUAUUUACAAUUUAAAAGAAAUAAAUUUGCAGUAAUUUUACGUUACAUUGCAAUGGUGCAUAGAAAAAAUAAAGUAAAAAUAUAGUGAUUUAAUUAAUUAUUUUUGUUGUGGAUUGUUAUCCUAUGUAUAUUUCUUGGUAAAACUGUGUACAUGUUAAGCAAUUUUUAGAAUAUUUGUGAAAGAGCAGAUACAGAAGUCUGCUCUUUGAAGUCGUCGACCGUGUACAUGUAUAGCGAGUAGCUCUUCAUUGGGCCAUCUCAAUUUGGUUAAUUUGAUUUUUGGUGUGAGUGUCCCAGACACAAGAACUGUACUCAAGCUUAGGUCUAACUAAUGAAAUGUAUGCCCUUUCUUUAAUUUGUUUGGAUGAAACUUUAAGGUUACGUUUUAGGAAAUUGAGAUGUCCAUUUGCAAUGGCGGACUACAGAACGGACGCAUAGACCAGGAAACACAAUUUUCUCUACUGUCGUAGGUGGGCCAUAAAAACGAGUAGAUGCAACUGAGAUGCAAAUUAGAGGAUGAAUUUAAAAAAAACACUUAAAAAGAGUAUAUUCGACAUUAAAUGUAAAUUAUAUUUUUUUAUUGUAAAAAAAAUGCUGAAAUGGAGAAAAGAUUUAUAUUGUUAGAAAGCAGUAUACCCCUUAAGAAGAUAACACAGAUUCAGUUUUAAGUUUUAGUCAGUUUCUCGUUUCUUUUCAAGUAACUAGCAAAAAAACUUUGCAAAUGGUUUUGAACAAAUGGUGUUUGGAGUUUUGAGUUUUAACCUCAGGAACGCCCCCUUUCAAGUAACAUAUGAAACUGCUUGAAGCUUCCUGAUAUUUCAUCCGAUAUUUUUUCUUACCAGUAGCUAUAAUAGGUUUUUGAUAAUAUAUAUAAAUAUAUUUUGAAUUAUUCAAAUCGUUGUCUUUUUUUUUGUCUUUGACGAAUAGUCAUUAUAAUUACACUGCUUUCUAACAAUAUAAAUCUUUUCUCCAUUUCAUCGGAUCUGCUUUAACACGAGUUUUUUCCCCCGCUAUUAUCAUUUAUUUCUCUCUCGAAAUUAAAAACUCCUGAUUUUAACUUCAUUUUAUUUAAGGAAUGACUGUAGUGUUUUUCUGUCUUUGAAGAAAUAACAUAAAAAAAAUGAGGUGAACACUGAAUAACCUGCGAAGCGGAUCAUUUAAAAGUGUGCAACACAUUUUCCCGGUUAUUUCGAAUAGACAGAAAAAUUGUUGCAGUCAUUCCUUAUAAUUUAAUUCUAGAUUCCAUAUUUAAUAUAGUAAUUCAUGAAAAAAAGUUGAUGAAGUCAUGAAAACGAAACGUUAUAAUAGGCAUGCUUCCGAAGUGCUUUUCUGGGUUUACCUUCAUCAUUGAACCCCUAAAGACGAAUAUGUGAAAGCUAGUGAUGUAUAAAAACCAAAACAGUUGAAGCGCUAUAUAAUCAAAAAGUAUUUACAAAAUAGCCAAAUCCAUCAAAAUCAAAAUUAUGUCUAUGAGCUUUCUUCAAGCAUGAAUAAAAAAGUGUGCAAGAUUCGAUGUAGGGGACUAAUAAUCCCGAAUGCUCAACGUAUUUUCUGACAACAAAAAGAUAAUAUUCUCCGCUCUCGAAGUAAGACGUCUCAUACAUGGAAUAUUAAAUGGCAGGAUAGACCCCUUCUUACACUUAAGGUGGUACCUAACACUACAGGGAGAUAACUCUAUAAAGUCAGCUCAACGUUUUAAUUACGUUGUGUUGUAAAAGUAAUAUUAAGCUUCUCAAUGAUUAAAAUUGGUGUUUGUCAAACUGCUAUAUAACCAGUGUAAUUUUUCUGACAAAACGGUUGGUUCAAAAUUUUUGAAAAUUAUAUAUUUUUCGUUAAAGGGUCAAAGUAAAUACUUUGACAAAAUUUUAUGAAAAUUAAACGAGCCAAAUAAAUUUUAGUGAAAGUGUUGGGUACCACCUCAAAUAAAAAAUUUAGAAAAGAGAAUGUUGUUAGUAGAUACAAAACAGAAAAUGAUGAACACUUUUACAAAAGAUAAAUUGGAUCGGUGUUCUGUGUAUUCACAUUACUUGUAGAACUCUCCUUACUCUUGGUUAAAAAUGAAAUUUCCGUGACCUAAAUGGUUUGCGAAAAUUAAUAUUUUUAUAUAUAGUAUAGUAAAUACACAUUACAUUUAUUAUCCGUGCCUGAGGGAGAUUUUUAAAUUUGUUUAUAUUUUCCAAAGGGUGUCGACCGAGGGAAAUAUGGCUUUUCAAGAGUCAACAAAAGGCUUAGGAAAAUGAAUGUUUUAUUCAACUGCCUUUGUGUUUUUAUUUCCUUGACAAAAUCUUCAUUUUCUAUCAAUGUUUCAUAUCCGCUUGCUUUUAUGAAGAAAAACGAAAUGAACAUUGAUAGAAGCUUCAUGCCUUUGUAAGUCUUUUGUGUUUGUUUUUUAAAUUUUUUAGUUCAUUUAUAUGUUUCGGGGUGACGUCCACUUUCACUGAACUUGUUAACAUUUUUGUUCAGGGGCCAGCCGAAGCCCGCCUUCGGAUGUGGGAUCUUCUCACGAUAUUGAAAACCACUGAAGCCCUUCGGCUGCUCUUCGGUGUGGUUGCUGUCUAUUUGACACAUUCCUCAUUUUCAAUUUCAAUUGUAUUGAUAACUUGACAAUACUGAUAAAAAAUAAAUCUGAUUGGGCAUAUAUCCAUGUCAUAACCCUGACACCUGACUAAAAAAGCUUGAAGUCAUCUUGAAAAAUUCAAAGCGACACUUAGUAUUUGAUGUUUAGAGGGAAAAAUGAAGUUUGACAAUAUCACGUGGGAUUGUGUCAAUCAAUCAAAUAUUGAUUUCAGUGGAAUAAUAUUUAUUAUUUAACACGUAAAUAUUAUAGGAUUAUAAUUAUUUAUAUAUAUAUAUAUAUUUAUCAGUUAUCCUUAUCUACAAAAUAUAUUGUCAACUACAUUUUUUUAAUGAAUAAAAUUUGCAACUUUUUUUUAGUCUAAAUAAUUUUUUGGCGAAGUACAAGAACUAUGCGAAAAUAAAAAUGUUUAAAAUAAUGAAGACGGAUCUAAUGAUUCUAUUAUCUUAGGUUGCUUUCAUACUACAUGGUUUUACUUCAAACGAAAUGAAAGCAUAUGACAAAAUCCUCUAUCAGCCAAUAAAAGAUCAGCAUUUGUAUGAAUUUAACUCCAACGGUAAAUAUAUAUAACUAAAUUUUAUUUCUUUUAGAUUUUAAUGUUUCUCAUGUUAGGUUUUGUAUUUGUGUUAGCUUUGCAUUUUUAUAGAAGUCUUUAAGUUACAUUUGUCGCGUAUGUGACAUAGACAAAUAUCCCGUAAAUAUGUCAUGUCUAAUGAUGCAAUACAAUCUGGAAGGAAAAGUUGAAAGAUUGUGUCGAAACGUUAACUUUCUUGUUCAUUUUUUUUUUUGGAUAUAGAUAAGGCCGUUAGUUUUUUUCGUUUGAAUUGUUUUACAUUGUUUUAUCAGGGCCUUUUAUUGCUGACUAUGCGGUAGGGGCUUUGCUUAUUGUUGAAGGCCGUACGGUGACCUAUAGUUGUUAAUGUCUGUGUCAUUUUGGUCUCUUGUGGACAGUUGUCUCAUUGGCAAUCAUACCACAUCUUCUUUUUUUAUAUUCAACAAAUUAAACCAACAUUACUAGUUAUUGAAUGCAAACUUCAAGUGCAAUUAUAUAAGAAAUAAGGUGCAUAGUACACUUUGCCUCGCUUGCACUAUCACAUUUCCAUGAACUGUGAAACAUGGAUCAGAACCAUAAUUGGCAUAUAAACUUCACUUCAUUAUGUACAUGUGUAGUUAGUUUCAAGAUAAUGUAACCACAAACUACAUUAAACCAAACGUAACCUGAUACGGAAAAGACAGACUCACAAAUCGGAAAGUAAUGCCCAUCAACUAUCGAAAACAUGGCUUAAAAACGACUAACAUUCUAAUGAUGAAUUUUAUUUCAUACCUAAUUUUCAAAGGCUGGUUUUGUUUAUCCCCUUCUUUUUAAUAGUCUAGCCGACGAACGUUUGUUCAGUUCAUCUCCACAUUACAUCGCAUUGCCAUUUUCGUUAAGAUGACAGCUAGUUCUUACAACAGUACGCGCUCUUGCAUUGUGACUGGUUCCCAGUGUACCAGUAACUUCAAAUACUGCAUCACGUAAUUUUUUUUAUCUAAAAACUGAUUUAUUGCACUAUUGCUGUUAUAAUGAAUACCAUGUCUACAGCAUUUGACAGGGCACCCCUGUAGUGUUAGUUUUACUGAACAAACAUGGAGAUUGUUCAGUGAAUUAAUAAUAAUAAAUGGCUAGAUUUACAUGUAUCAAUAUUAUGUAUACAGAUUACUACAGAAAUUAAUUUCCGGAAAAAAAUACAUUCGUGAAUCGCUUUGACACUGUAUAUAUGCUAGUUGAAUUGGUCAUGACCUAUCGAUCACAGAUCACGCGAUGGAGGCAAGUUAACAGGCGAAGCAGUUUGUAUAUAUAUUAAUUAUGUAGGUAUUAUGUAGGUAUACAUACUAACUUGGACGGUUGCGAAUUGAAGUACAUUAUAUUAGUUUAUUUAUUCAUGAAUAUGUGAUAUAUUAAAUGAAGGAUGCUUCAAGAGGAUAGAAGGGGUUAAAUCUUUUAUCACUGAUCAUGAUCAUGACGAAGUCCACAACAUGUGGUUUUAAGAUUAAAUAAUAUUGAGACUCAUGUUUUGCUGAAUAGAUAUAGCAUAUAACAUAUAUGCAAGAAUAAUAAGUAUCUGUACAAGCUUACUUCUUUCAAAAUUUUACCAUGUUUACCACCUGAAAGUGUCGAAAUAUUUAAGUAGAUCAAAAAAUCUUUUUUGAACAGGGCAUAUACAUCAAAAUUUGUAGUUUUAUAAUUUGAACUGUGGGUGCACUUGUGGAUAGAAAAUGUAAUGAGUGUCACCAAAAGAUUUAUAUCAUGAUAAUUGAUAUCACAUAUUUUAUAUCCUAUUAUAAGAUUUCUGUAGUUUAGUAUAUGAUGACCAAUUUUAACUUUAUUUAAUAGUAUUUUGAUCUUCUCCAAAAAAGUUUUAAAGUAUUGACAUUCUAGAAAAAAAUGUUUAUAAUCUUCUGUUACAUUACAUAAGUCACAUUUAAUGUCUUCUUUUAUCUUCCAUCGAAAAGGCAGUUGUUUACAAGGAAGGAUAUGAUGCAUCAAUUUCCAUUUAAAUAUUUAUACUCUGUUAUCUUUUAAACAGGUCGAGAACUCUAGAUUUCCUGACGUCAGAACUUGAUAAAUUUGCAUAGUAAUUUCAUAAAACACAAGGCCAUGGCAAGAUGGCCUCGAAAAACUGACCAAUCGACUCAAUGAACUACAAUGCACCGGGGGCUACUACGAGUUUACUACAACUCGAAAACACGUGGAAUUAGUGAAAAAAAACCUGUCGACUAAUAUAGUGUCUUGGACUCUCAAAAUAAAUAUUUUUGUUCUGCGAAUAUGUUUAUUGUAAAAUAUAUAACAUAAUCUUCAAUCUGCAUGCUCAGAUUGAAAAAGUAUUGACUACGAACCCUCACUGUUGGACUUUCUUUCUCGCCUUGUAAAAGUAUUUAAUCAGUUUUUUCCCAUUAUUCAUUGUACUUGUGCAAUAACUUCACGGCGUGAAACCGUGAAAUUUCGGAUGAAGUGAUCACUGUCAAGUAUGAACAUUUUGUAAUCUCUUUUAAACAUAUAUAAUGUCAUUCCAAAAACAUUACUGCCUCGAAAAACACGAAAACUGGCGCAGAAACACUUCUAUAUGUACUGGAUGUGUAAACUUUUUAUCAGGAUCUGAACACAGGUGCUUGAGGACAGGAUCCAUAUAGUCCCUCCCCUUAUUAUCAUAAAUCUUAGAUUUUUCGAUGUAUAUCAGUUAUUUGUGCUAUAUAUAUACUAAUACACAAUAUUUAUACUCUAAAUAUGCAUGUUUACUAUCAACGAAGAGCUCUAUAGUCGUUGAUGGUAAACAGUUUUUAUAGUUGUUUGCCACUGCCGUCAGAGCAAAGGGAACAGUUUAAAAGUCCGAAAUACUGAAAUAUGUCAAAAAUCAAAACUUAUAGAUUUUGUAAACACUGUCAUGUAUGUAAAUAUUUCAUAAUGGAAACUCGAACUUCUGAGGGAUGUUUAUAUACAAAAAUGAGGAGAAUGGGUAUGAUUGCCGCAUGGGACAACUAUCCACUUAAGCACAAAUGAAGUGGAUGUAAGUAAUGAUAGGCAACUGCAAUGCCUUAAACAAUGAGAAAACCCCAUCCCGUAUAGUCGGCUAUUAAUGGCCCCGAUUGAUGAUCAAACGUUGUUGUUUCUUAAAGACAAAUAUGUAAAUACAUUUUUUCCUGGAUUUAAAUUACUUUUUAAACAUCACAUUAGGUACAAUAUAAAAAAAAAUUGUGAAAACUUAAAAAGUUAAAAGACAAACUCUAAGUCUUUGUCUUUUGUAUGAACACAAAAUUCAUGGAUCACUCAUUUCUCUUUAACUAUUUAUACGAAAGUUGCUGCAAACAUUAAUAUUAGCAUCGGCUGUUAUCGACGGCUGACUUUAAGGCCGUUAGUUUUCUCGUUUGAAUUGUUUUACAUUGUCUUAUCGGGGCCUUUUAUAGCUCACUAUGUGGUAUGGGCUUUGCGCAUUGUUGAAGGCCGUACGGUGACCUAUAGUUGUUAAUGUCUGUGUCAUUUUGGUCUUUUGUGGAUAGCUGUCUCAUUGGCAAUCAUACCACAUCUUCUUUUUUUAUAUUUACACUUGUAUGUUUGUUUUAUUGGUAGUUGUGUUUUUCACUGUUGUUUCGUUGCUGUCUGGUAGACGAAUACAUGAAAUCUCCGUGUCAUCAUCAAACAUGUAAAUAGCUAUAAAGGAGUAGGUUCACUGAAACCCCUUUUUGGCCCCAAAAUAUAGCAGUUUUAGAAAAUUGUGAAAAUGUAAUCUUUAAGCUAUAUUUUGGAAAGUAAAAUGCUUCUGCUACAUAAAUAUGAGCUGUUCUUGACGAUACAAUGCACAAAUAUCGCGUUUUAGCAUCAUUAAGUCAUGCUAAAUUACUGAAAUCUUCAAAAUUUUACCAUUUUGGUCAUUUUUUAGACGGUUUCCGUCUAAAAUGAAAGAGGCCGCAUUCGUGUUCAUUCAUAAUAUUGAAAUGUAAGUUGUAUUUGAUGAUAAUACAAAACAUAUAUAAAGGUUGAGGAUGAAAACGGAUGCGGCCACAUUCAUUUUUGACAAAAACCAUCUGAAAAGUGACGUUUUUUGGCAUAUUUGAUAGAUUUUUAUAUUUAAGCUUGAAUCAGAGCGUUUUUAUUGACUAAAUCAGUUAAAAUCUUUCACACAAACUAAGCGAAUCAAUUGAAAUAGACACUUAAGUGUUUAAAAAGUGUCCAAAAACUUUCGUUAAAUGAACUUGAAAUUUGAGGCCAAAAUCGGCCCUUACCGGACCUUCGAUUAGAAACAAACUCUUCAUUUAUCUGAGCAUGGAACGAAUACUUUAUAUCACGAACUAUAAAUGUGGAUACAAAAAAUGAAAAACUAAGCGAGAUUGUUAAUCCCGCAUUGCACGAAAAAAUGUGUUGUAUUUCAGUAAGAAGCACGUGUUCUUGGUUGAUUGUGAAGUAGUCCAUAAUGCAUUGUUACUCAUUUAGUGGAUUGUUAAAAAAAUCCAGGUAACAAUAAAUUGCGUCACACGUAAAUAAACAAUUACACGUGUGAUAACAUAAGUAUGCCAUGGCCAAUUCAUGCAUUUCCAUAUAAGGUAGUGUUCCUGACCUGUUAAAUAAGUAAAUACAAAGUUUAGCAUUGAUUAAAUUGGGAUUAAAGAAUCUAAAUUUAGUACACGUUUCCAUUUAAAGAAACCUGAAGGCGUGUCUUCAUUUCCACUAUUAAUGUGUGUGUAUAUCUGUUUUGUUUCCAUUACUUGUAAACUUAUUAUCUUAUUUUUUUCUUUUGAAUUAAUGCAAAUGUUAAGUUUAUUUCUUACUUUUGAUUUUAUUGAUUUUUCUGAUUUAAGUACCUUGAGCAAUUCAUUUGGUAUAGCAUAUUUAAGUAUUGAAAUUUCAAACAUUAAAUUGGAUUUUGAGGAUAUUUUAUUAGAUAUUAUUUCUUGAGAGAUAUUACCAUUUUGGUCAAUUAUAUCAUUAACAUAUAUAAUACCUUCUUUUAUCCAUUUUAUAAAAACUAAACACUUUCCUUGAAAUUUUAUCAGUUUGUAUCCCCAUAAGAUUUGUUGUCUAAUGUUUUUAAAAUUCAUAUUGAGUUUGGUAUUAUUUAAAUUUUGUUCUUUGAACCAAGACUUUACAAUUCCUAAGUAGAAUUUUGGUAAAGUUUUAUGUAGGUUUUGUGUAGAGUAAAUGUUGUCUGGAUUCAUGUAAAGUAGCAUGAAAUAAGCACCAAAUUUAUUAAAGUAAAAUGUCGGAAUUACUUUCCAGUUAGCAAAAUCAUCUGCAGUAAGUCUUUUGAUCCAUGCUAUUUGUAGUGCAGUGAUAUAAUUGUCUACAUCUGUCAUCUUAAGCCCUCCAUCAGUAGUAUCUUUGCUAAGUGUUGUUCGUUUGACGUUUUACCAUCCCAUAUAGAAUUGUGAAUUUCUACGGCAAUAACAAAAAUCAGGGAACUUAACGGGCAGCCUUGCCUAAUCCCGAGUUUGAUGUUAUAUGGUGAUGAGACCCACCCAUUGUUUAACAUACAACCGGUAAUAUCUUUGUACAGAGUUUUAACCCAUUUUAUAAAAAGAUUUGGAAGGCCAAAUUUCUUGAGUGCUCCAUACAUAAAUGGCCAUUCCCAUGAGUCAAAAAAUCUAUGAAGAGCUAUGCUCCUUCAAAAUUAAAGUAUUCUGCAUGGUCUAUUAUGUCUUGAAUUUGACGAAUGUUGAAACCUAUAUACCUAUUUUUAUAUAACCGUUUUGGUCACUAUGGAUGAUUUUUGUAAGAAUUGGUUAAAGACUUUGUGCUAUAAGUUUUGUGUCAACAUUGAGUAAAGUAGUUGGUUUAUAGUUGUCCAAAGGAAGUGGCUUUCCUUUUUUAUAUAAUAAAAAGACUACUCCUAUUUUUCUACUGUGCUCAUUUCUUCUAUUUGAUAGCAUGUGUUAAAUACUUUAACAACAUUUUCUAUUAGAUUUGCCCAGAAGGUUCGAUAAAAUUCUACACUGAGCCCGUCGAUACCUGGUGAUUUAUUUAGUUUCAUAGAUUUAAUAGCUGCUGUAUAUUCUUUUAUAGUAAGCUCCCCUUCUAGAUUUGGAGUUUCCUCAUGUUUCUGUUAUAUAUUUUUUUAUUUCAUUUUCAUUAGGAUUUGUACUUUUAUAUAUAUUUUCAUAAAAGGUCUUUUCUAACUUUAAAAUUUCAGAUGAAUCUGUUAUGAUAUCUCCUGUUUCGUUAGUAAUUUUUGGCGUUCAUAGUAGUAGUCGUCACGCACUAAAUUCAAACUUUGACCAUUUCCCCCCAAGUAUAUUUGAUUGCACCAAUCUCCAUGUUGGCAUAAUGAAGUGUCUGUCAAACCCAGUCUUAGCCAUUUAUUUUUGUAACAAUAAAAGUUUUAAAAGAAACUUCACAUAACAACAGCAUGCCGACCAGUCAUCAACCACGAGGCCACACCGUUUGUUCCAUAUAUAAAUGUGAUAAUCUUUAGAUUAUUAUGUUUUCCUUAUCUGCACAUUAUCGUCGAUUCUAGACGAUCCGGUACAUAUUAAAUUUGCUAGUUGGUCCUUUUUAUAGAUUUGUAUAUAAAGGUUUUACUCCUUGUUGAAUGUCGUAUGGUGACAUAUAGUUGCUCAUUUGUAACCCUACAGCAUCUUCUAACUGGUACACCCCGGCCACUUUUUAGUCUGUCGUCCGUCCAUCCGUCUUGAGAGUUUGAUUUUUAAAGAUAUGCAAUACAAGGUCUAAAUCAUUGCUUUCAGAGUGCACUCCAAUCCAUUCUUACACGACUGAUUCUUUUUGUUUGCUUAACCUCUAAUUGCACAUGUGUAGUAUAUAUUCACUGUAAAUUAAUUAUUACGGCAACUGUCAUUCUUUAUAUUAACUUUAACAACCUAAAUAAACAAUUAAAAAAAAUAUAUUAUCAAUUGUAAAAUUUUACUAUGGAUAUUUUGAAUUUCAUUUAUUAUUUUGAAUUUUAGAGUUAAAGUUCAGUGUACAUAAAUAUAAAAUAACUUUCUUUUCGUUAUAAAUGAUUUUUUUUCUUCAGUUUUGACAGUUUCUGAGGGAACAUUGCGGUCUGGACAUUUUCCAUAACGACCAAAGACGAUCAAUUCUUUUAAACAAAAGAAUGAAUUUCAUAUAAACUUUUUUUAUGAUUUUUAAUAGUGUACUAGUACAUCUGCUAAUUUACUUUUUUUUUUUAUAUAUAAAUGAUGUCUGUGGUUUCCCAUACCCCAUGUCCUUUUAUAUAAGGAGUAUGACAUCCGCAAUCUGUAUCAUUGACUAUGCCAUUGUAUUAUUUUAGGAUACAGAUUUUAUGUCUUCAACUCUUCCUUAACCACUGAUUGUGGUUCAUUGAAAAAUUCUCACAAUGAUAUAUUGUGCACCUCCUUCUUACAUCCUGCCACUUAAAAACAAACGAAUUGUUAUCUUAUCUUGAAUUUUGAUAUAAAUAAAAGUAUAUCUUAUGUACUAUACUAUUAAGUAAAAGAUCAAUUUGUCAACAUGUUGUUUUUACUGUACUCACGUACUCCAUUUUGGAUGAAUAUUGUGGUAGGGCCAAUACUUUCGUACCUUUCCAUUGUGAUGAACAUUAUCAUCUUUGUGGCUUUAUUUCAUAAAAAGAUAAGGUCACCUACAACAGUAGUAAUGCAAGGAUUGGCGCUGGCUGACGGACUCACUGCGUUUUGUACCUAUGGAUUUGAACCUUUUUUCAAUUUUCAUUAUGAAGUGAUAGGAAAUGAUAGUAUUGAUGACAUAAAUAAUACUAGUACAGAGAUGGAAGAACUAAAAAAACUAGUUGGACUGAAGUUUCCGUAUUGUCUCAUACAUUUUUGUCUUACAAACCUAGGAGACACAUUCCACCUUGUGUCUAUACUCUUGACAGCGUCUCUUGGGAUACAGAAACUCCUGGCUGUGUUAUGUCCAAUAUGGAGCAAAAUUCAUAUCAAUAAUCAAAAAUCGUGCAUUGUUUGCUGCUCGUAUUUUUUGUUUACUCUGGUCGUCAACGUGCCAAGACUAUUCGUAAUAAGUCUAAGUCGUGGUACAGAAGGAGAUGUAUGUUUAGUCUCUGACCCACAACUUUCAGUUCAGAAAUAUAUUCUAGCAUACUAUCCGAUCAUAUACUCCAUUAUUUUGGUUAUUGCAGUAGUAACAAUGCUUAUAUCAACAUUCUAUAUUAUAUAUAUACUGUGCCGUCGGAAACGUGUCCGUGGACAUGCUGCGGCUUCCAGAGCUGAAAAAAAAUCUUGUAUAUUGAUUGUGUGCGUAAUGACGGUCUUUUUUCUUGCAGAGGUCCCAAGGCUUUAUGUCAACUCAACUAUAUUCAGUACCUAUAACCUCAAUUUGGAAAUGCAGAAAAAAUAUAGUAAUGACAUGCAUAAUAUUGCCUUACAGAAACUGUCGACCGAGGCUGUCCAAACGUAUUCAUCAUGUUUUGAUGAUAGCUUGCUCCUUAUCAUAAGAGAGACCUGCCUCUCUGAUUUUAAUGAACUGCCAUCACAUUCUAAAAAAAGGAUGGUUAAUCGAGUGGAAUUUUCUUUAAAGGUUUCGAAAUUUUAUCGAUUUUUUGUGGAUAAGAUUUUUAAAGAUCAAUUUAAACAAAUCUAUAAUGAAUAUCUAAAGGACGCCCUUGUUCAUCUUAUAUAUUUACGUCAGAAAAGAAGGUUUAAAAUAUUCCAACAGUUCUUCUAUAAUUAUACAACAUUCAAAUAUUGCAAUAAAAGAUCAAAUAACACAUAUUCCGAUCAUCUGUACCACUGUUUUGCGGAAAAAGACAAAAACUAUAGUUUUGAAGUACUUAUUUUGUCACCGUACAGCGAACCAAUGAACUACUUACUAAAUAUCAUCUGGGGACAUAUUAAUAUUAACUUGGAACAUUUAAAACUUCUCAUUGAAAUUUUAAAACUUUCAAUGAUCAUUGGCUGCGCUUCAAACUUUCUUAUAUAUAUAGCUAUGAGUGAAAAACUAAGAGAUGCUUUGAAAAAGAUGUUUAAUUGCAGUUAACAUCAGACAAUAGGAUGAAUUCCAAACAAGAACUUAAAAAGAGGAUACCGGACAUGUUAUUUUUAGUGUUAUAGAAUUACUGGUAUAUAAUGUGCUUAUACCCUAUAGGAAGAUGACACAUAUCUAGUUGCUACUUAGUUUGAUAUUCGUCGAAAAAAUGGUGAAAAGUGGUUUAAAGUUUUAACCCUGGAAACGAUUCCCACCAAAUACAUUUUAUACUUCCCGGAGCGUUCUGAUAUUUCACCCAAAAUAUUUACUUACUAUACGAAAACAGUAGGUAUACAUGCUAGCUUUUUGAUAGUGAGUUCAAAUUUAUCAAUUCGUUGCCUGCUUUGUCGAAUAGUUACUAGUACAUCGCUAUCUAAUUUGAUAAGUUUUGUAACAGGACAUUUAUCAAAAAUGACCAUAUAAUUGAUAUUCAUGUCAACAUUAAAGGGCUGACUACUGGGCUGGUUAUACCCUCAGGGACGAAACGUCCACCAGCAGUUGCAUUGACCCAGUGACGUAAAUAGUUAAAAGUACCAUGAUUAUAAUUUAAUAUGCCAGACUUGCGUUUUGUCUUCAUAAGACGCAUCAGUGACGCUCAGAUCAAAAUAGUUAUAAAGCCAAACACAUACAUAGUUGAAGAGCAUUGAGGACCCCCAAAUUCCAAAAAGUUGUGCCAAAAUUUUAGUAUAAAUUCAGAAGAUGUCAAUUGUAAAGCAAUUGACAUAUUUAAAUACUAUUAAAAGUAAAAUAUUGACAUUUUUGUAAAAGAUUGUCAGACAACUUGCCUUAGAAAACUAUUUUGUGUCUAUUGACAUAUCGCGUAUGUGCAAAAAAGUAGAUUCGUUCUGUUAUAUAACUUAACAUUUAGUGCUAUUUUCCUUGUCCUAAAACUAGAAACAAGGACUCCUGAAUUGUUCAAAUUCUAUUUCUAUUUUUCUGCUUAUAACCUAAAUGAUAUCCCUAAAAAAUAUUUUUGUAUAAAAGUAUUUUAUGUGAAUGCUCAAUAUAAGACUGUAUAAUGUAGUCAAAGCGAUUCAUAAAACACUGAUAAUUUGUACAAGAAAUAUUGUAAAAAUUAGGAUUAGUACAACAUAUUAUAUGUGUUACAAACAGCAUUGCCAACACUCAAUAACUCGACUUAACGAUUUUCUUCCGGCGACUUUUUAUGCUCUUGAACAAUUAAUAAACAGCUUUACGAAAUAUAAGUUAAAUCCAUACCUUUAUUUUUUUAUGAUUCAAUUAAAAGGAGGCGUAUGACUAAGAUAUAUAUAUAUAUAUAUAUAUAUAUAUAUAUAAUGAACAUUUUAUGUAAUCAGAAAUUUUGAACAUUUUAACUUAUUUAGUAUUUAUUUGAAAAAUGUUGACAAAAAUUUUAUUGUGCAUUACAAUUGACAUUUUUUCUGUUUUUCUGUUUUCUGAUUUAAUAUAAAAUUAUUGGGUUUUUAUUUCUAAAUUGACUUUUUUGGUCAUUAAAUGCUUUUUUUUCAAAUUCCAUAAUGUUUGCGAUGUUUCAAAAAAGAGGUAUAUUGCAAUAAAAUAAGUUGCUUCAUUUAUAAAAUAUAUAACAAAAUUUUAAAGUUUUCAUUGGUUAUAUAUAAAAAGACGAUGAGUUAAACCCUUCUUUACCUUUUUUUGUUUAGACAAUAUUAACCUGGAAAACU
Molecule: long non-coding RNA, 18702 nt
Filed under: Mytilus galloprovincialis (Mediterranean mussel)
Lineage: Eukaryota; Metazoa; Mollusca; Bivalvia; Mytilida; Mytilidae
Source: RNAcentral